This 288-nucleotide ribosomal RNA is filed under the name Atractus badius. Its description in RNAcentral is "partial 12S ribosomal RNA". The record is from RNAcentral. Lineage: Eukaryota; Metazoa; Chordata; Lepidosauria; Squamata; Dipsadidae.
AAAGACUUGACGGUACUUCACAUCAACCUAGAGGAGCCUGUCUAAUAACCGAUACCCCACGAUCAACCCAACCCACCCUAGCCUACCAGUCUAUAUACCGCCGUCACCAGCUCACCUUAUGAAAGAAACAAAGUGAACCUAAUAAGCCACCCCUAAUAUGACAGGUCGAGGUGUAACACAUGAGUGGGUAAAAGAUGGGCUACAUUUUCUCUUAACAGAAAAUACGGAUAAACUACGAAACUAGAAACUGAAGGCGGAUUUAGCAGUACGUCAAGGACAAAAUACUUG